CCUACGGGAGGCUGCAGUGGGGAAUAUUGGACAAUGGGCGAAAGCCUGAUCCAGCAAUGCCGCGUGAGUGAUGAAGGCCUUAGGGUUGUAAAGCUCUUUUACCAGGGAUGCAGUACCUGGAGAAUAAGCUCCGGCUAACUCCGUGCCAGCAGCCGCGGUAAUACGGAGGGAGCUAGCGUUGUUCGGAAUUACUGGGCGUAAAGCGUACGUAGGCGGUUAUUCAAGUCAGAGGUGAAAGCCCGGGGCUCAACCCCGGAACGGCCUUUGAAACUAGAUAGCUAGAGUCUUGGAGAGGUUAGUGGAAUUCCGAGUGUAGAGGUGAAAUUCGUAGAUAUUCGGAAGAACACCAGUGGCGAAGGCGACUAACUGGACAGACUGACGCUGAGGUACGAAAGCGUGGGGAGCAAACAGGAUUAGAUACCCUUGUAGUC
RNAcentral lists this ribosomal RNA (431 nucleotides) under uncultured bacterium. RNAcentral describes it as "partial 16S ribosomal RNA". It matches the Rfam family "Bacterial small subunit ribosomal RNA", at positions 338 to 795 of the family's 1533-position model. The record is from RNAcentral.